UACAGAGGGUGCGAGCGUUAAUCGGAAUUACUGGGCGUAAAGCGUGCGUAGACGGCUAUCUAAGUCGGGUGUGAAAUCUCGGGGCUUAACUCCGAAACUGCAUUCGAUACUGCGGUGCUUGAGGACUGGAGAGGAGACUGGAAUUUACGGUGUAGCAGUGAAAUGCGUAGAGAUCGUAAGGAAGACCAGUGGCGAAGGCGGGUCUCUGGACAGUUCCUGACACUGAGGCACGAAGGCCAGGGGAGCAAACGGG
RNAcentral lists this ribosomal RNA (253 nucleotides) under uncultured bacterium. RNAcentral describes it as "partial 16S ribosomal RNA". It matches the Rfam family "Bacterial small subunit ribosomal RNA", at positions 524 to 776 of the family's 1533-position model. The record is from RNAcentral.